This 30-nucleotide non-coding RNA is filed under the name Rattus norvegicus (Norway rat). The record is from RNAcentral. Lineage: Eukaryota; Metazoa; Chordata; Mammalia; Rodentia; Muridae.
UAACAUGACCCUUGAAAAUUGGAUUCAGAU